Molecule: long non-coding RNA, 1367 nt
Organism: Rhineura floridana
Lineage: Eukaryota; Metazoa; Chordata; Lepidosauria; Squamata; Rhineuridae
Exons: 4
Source: RefSeq, a predicted model, not a curated record
UGAUGGGAGUCGUUGCCCUGCCGUACCUGCCAUCCCUCGCGCCGCUAUUUCCCCGGCCCACUGAUUUACAAUGGCGCCUGGGGGUGCUCGCGAGGGAGCCGGGUGGGGAACGGCUGUCUCCGCCGGCACCACUGCCACCCCCGGCACCGCUGCUGCUGCUGAGGUACUGUGUCAUGUCUCCCGGCACCGCUGCCCGCCUCGACUUUUGGGCUCAGGCAGACACAUACAGAGUACCCCAAGCGUUUCCUUCUCCAUAGCACGGAACUAGCGGUCAGAGUGCAACUCGGGCGGAGAUCUCUUAAGGAGACGUUUCGAUUGGAUCAGCUCAGGGAAGGGAGGUCUCCCCAAUAGGCUGACGUGAACGAAUGGGGCGGGAUGCAAAGCCAAGAGCUCCAUCGGAUUGGCAGUUGAGACAGACGACAUUCAAAUCGAACAACAGAGCGCCCGCCUGAUUAUGUAAUUCGCUUCUGGCUCCUUCCAGCGGGAAAGGGAAAAACGUUACUGGGGCAUCUUUGGCACCUUCGUCUCGCGAUGCCUGUGAUACGUUAACAGGGAGGCGCACGGGUGGACGCAGGUUUGGCGUUUUCGCGUUCCAUUGUGUUGGAAGGCGUCUUCACAGGCUCCUGCAGGUGCAAUAUGGCCAGACGAGCAGCAAGGACUUCAAAUCUCUUCAAAAUCUCUGCUCUUUGUGUGUGAGUACAGAGCAAAACAGAUGCAGUGAAGCAUCCUGUCACUUUCUGCCAGUUACAGUAAGGCCUGGUUCCGUGAACAGCUUCCUCUUGCUGAGCUCAAGAACAUCUCCUUUUCCACAAACAGCAGCCAAAUUCUGAAAGCGGGGACAGAAGCCUAACAGAUUGCAGAAUCCAUCAGGCCUCCUUUUCUAUUCAAGCACAGCAAGCAAAAAAUGCAGCUUCCAGCAGAAGUGGCUCCCUGCCCUCGUGCUCACCUUUCUCUUUUUAUGCGUGCUUUCCUUUUCUGGGAACAGACAGCUGCAAUGACAGGUCCAGGGAGUUUCUUGAGAACUGGAUUCUGGCAGACUCACUUCUGUGGGAUGCUUGACUUGCCCUCCCACACUUUCCUCAUUUCUCAGAAAAGCCUGGAAACUAAAAUGUUGAAAAGAGGGGGCAGUGGAAGUUGCUCAGACCAUGUGCAUGUCUCAGCAGUCCAGGAAGAGAAAUGAGUAAGUGGCUUGACAUAUUUAAGUGCCUCUGGCUGUGUCUGUCCAUGCAGUCUAGGAAGAAACAGCCAGAGCUACUGCAGACAAGAGUUAACAAGUAAGUGUUGUUUUCAUAUCAUUGUUUGUAAUUAUGUGUUGUGAACAAGAGACGUUCCUCUCAAGGCAGGGUGGGGAAGAGGAGAGAAACUGC